Molecule: unclassified non-coding RNA, 373 nt
Filed under: fungal sp.
Lineage: Eukaryota; Fungi
Description: partial internal transcribed spacer region
Rfam family: Eukaryotic small subunit ribosomal RNA (bases 1-46)
Source: RNAcentral
AAGUCGUAACAGGGUUUCCGUAGGUGAACCUGCGGAAGGAUCAUUAACACGUAUCCAAACGUUAAAACCCCCCCCGGGGCCCGUGAACAUUGAUUCCUGCUCUUGUAACCCGCGAAGCUUGCAAUCUCUGGUAAAUCAUAGCCCGGCGAGCGGUAGUUCUUUAGGCCUUGUUUCCCCAAGCAGUCAGUGUCUGAAAGUGUCAGUGAUUGUGCGAGGAUAACGCUUCACGAUUCUUGUAGACCGCACCUCGCGGGCAGGAGCUAGGCCAAAGGGUCCCCAUGCCCCCUUACAACCCCACAGUUAAAUGUGAAGCUCAAUGUAAUACAUUGGGUAAAAAACCGAACAACUGUUAACAAUGGAUAGCUUGGUUCUC